Long non-coding RNA from Pseudophryne corroboree (corroboree frog), 1380 nucleotides. RefSeq lists it as uncharacterized. The record is from RefSeq and is a predicted model, not a curated record. NCBI's taxonomy places the organism in Eukaryota, Metazoa, Chordata, Amphibia, Anura, Myobatrachidae. The transcript has 4 exons.
GUCAAAUCCCGCGAGACACUCACUUCACUGAGCCACCUGCAGCCCGCUGUGUGGUCACAGUAUACCAAUGGUAUGCGGGCGGAGCUGCUGAAUCAGGCGCCAGUUUCCCCUGCUACUCAGACCUCAGCGGUGGCGGCUUGGUAUGGCUGGGUUCUCCAGUCUCCCAUGGGCCCCCACAACAUUGUUGCCCAAGGACCCCCACAGACAUUAAUCUGGCCCUGAAAAUCAUACGCCCCCGCCUGCAACAGUUAUGAUCGCAUCCCUCGCCCCUGCUGACUUGCAGCUUGCCAUUCUCCUCACCGCCACCGGCCAUGUCCUGCUCACCGCUGCCGGCCACAUCCUGCACACCGCCGCCACCCACGUCCUCUUCACCACCGCCGCUCACGUCCUCUGCUGCCCAUGGCCUUCAACUCUGGACCGCCGCUGACUACACCCCCUCCGCUGCUCAGACCUUUUAACGACCCUUUUUACCUGGGGCGGACAAAAUUUAAUUGUCGGUGGAGACUUUAAUCUAGUGAUCGACCCAUCCAUGGACAGAUCCAGGGGAAAAAAGAGAAGGUUAAAACCAAAAGAGAUAGAUAUACGCCAAAUGAGGGAGUAUUCUGAUGGAUAUGACGAGGACAUUGACUUUUGAUCCCUAUGGUUCAACCAAUAUACCCUCAAUGUGUAGGAAGAUAAUUUCUACUUGUCUGGAUACAUAUUGGAUUGGACUAAAUGGUAAUGCUCUACAGAAAUGGACUGUAACUAUUAAGUUCAUUCAGACCCUUUGGAUGUAUGCUUUCCAUCAGGAAGAUCAUUUUAAUUUCAAACUUGAGGAGUUCUUGGUCUAAGUCACAUCUUCGUAUGCCCAAAUUUAUAUGUCUCAUCCCAAAGGCUCUCAAACCACUUGGAGAACUGUGGUGGUGCUACUGGAAAUGCCUUGCAACAGGGGAAAGGGUUUUGAAUUUCGCUGAAUCUCUGUUGGCAUUACGAAUAUUGCCCACGUGUUCCAAGAUCUGGACCUUCAAAGGUCAUGAUGUCUUGCCAAUAUAAGGUUUAUUACGUGGGCUUUCUAGAUGGUAAACUGUGCCUACAGUUGUACAUGUAAUUAGACCUGAUAUGGUCCAUUUUUUCUUGACUUUGUCCACAAAUCCUUUCAUAGGGGUCAUGUAUUGGCAGUGCCCGCAACUUAUACAUCCAUUCAUGCUGGUUUUAGUGUUGAUUUCUGACAUGUGACUAUGAACCAGAUGAUCUUUAAUGUUCCGUGAUUUCCUCCAGCUGGAUUGGACUCGGGAUGGUAAUAUUUGUUCCAAAUCUUUAUCGGUCUGCAGGAUGUGCCAGUGUUUCUGUAAAAUUGAGUUGAUGUUUUUACACUUUGCAAUAAAGGUCCCUAUAAUUAUA